GAUGAAGAACGCAGCGAAACGCGAAAGGUAAUGCGAAUUGCAGAAUCAGUGAGUCAUCGAAUCUUUGAACGCACAUUGCGCCCCCUGGUAUUCCGGGGGGCAUGCCUGUUCGAGCGUCAUUUCACCACUCAAGCCUCGCUUGGUAUUGGGCAACGCGGUCCGCCGCGUGCCUCAAAUCGACCGGCUGGGUCUUCUGUCCCCUAAGCGUUGUGGAAACUAUUCGCUAAAGGGUGUUCGGGAGGCUACGCCGUAAAACAACCCCAUUUCUAAGGUUGACCUCGGAUCAGGUAGGGAUACCCGCUGAACUUAAGCAUAUCAAUAAGCGGAGGA
Molecule: unclassified non-coding RNA, 330 nt
Filed under: soil metagenome
Description: partial contains 5.8S ribosomal RNA, internal transcribed spacer 2, and large subunit ribosomal RNA
Rfam family: 5.8S ribosomal RNA (bases 1-119)
Source: RNAcentral